Molecule: ribosomal RNA, 151 nt
Filed under: uncultured bacterium
Lineage: Bacteria
Description: partial 16S ribosomal RNA
Rfam family: Bacterial small subunit ribosomal RNA
Source: RNAcentral
GGGGAAUCUUGCACAAUGGAGGAAACUCUGAUGCAGCGAUGCCGCGUGAGUGAAGAAGGCCUUUGGGUUGUAAAGCUCUUUCGUCGGGGAAGAAAAUGACUGUACCCGAAUAAGAAGGUCCGGCUAACUUCGUGCCAGCAGCCGCGGUAAU